This 535-nucleotide ribosomal RNA is filed under the name uncultured bacterium. Its description in RNAcentral is "partial 16S ribosomal RNA". It matches the Rfam family "Bacterial small subunit ribosomal RNA", at positions 355 to 883 of the family's 1533-position model. The record is from RNAcentral.
UGGGGAAUUUUGGACAAUGGGCGAAAGCCUGAUCCAGCAAUGCCGCGUGUGUGAAGAAGGCCUUCGGGUUGUAAAGCACUUUUGUCCGGAAAGAAAUCCUUGGCUCUAAUACAGUCGGGGGAUGACGGUACCGGAAGAAUAAGCACCGGCUAACUACGUGCCAGCAGCCGCGGUAAUACGUAGGGUGCAAGCGUUAAUCGGAAUUACUGGGCGUAAAGCGUGCGCAGGCGGUUUGCUAAGACCGAUGUGAAAUCCCCGGGCUCAACCUGGGAACUGCAUUGGUGACUGGCAGGCUAGAGUAUGGCAGAGGGGGGUAGAAUUCCACGUNUAGCAGUGAAAUGCGUAGAGAUGUGGAGGAAUACCGAUGGCGAAGGCAGCCCCCUGGGCCAAUACUGACGCUCAUGCACGAAAGCGUGGGGAGCAAACAGGAUUAGAUACCCUGGUAGUCCACGCCCUAAACGAUGUCAACUAGUUGUUGGGGAUUCAUUUCCUUAGUAACGUAGCUAACGCGUGAAGUUGACCGCCUGGGGAGUAC